This 351-nucleotide ribosomal RNA is filed under the name Saprospiraceae bacterium. Its description in RNAcentral is "bacterial SSU rRNA". It matches the Rfam family "Bacterial small subunit ribosomal RNA", at positions 1 to 367 of the family's 1533-position model. Lineage: Bacteria; Pseudomonadati; Bacteroidota; Saprospiria; Saprospirales; Saprospiraceae. The record is from RNAcentral.
ACGAUGGAGAGUUUGAUCCUGGCUCAGGAUGAACGCUAGCGGCAGGCCUAAUACAUGCAAGUCAAGGGGCUCGCAAGAGCACCGGCGGACGGGUGCGUAACGCGUACACAACGUACCUUAGAGCGGGGGAUAGCAUUGGGAAACUGGUGGUAAAACCGCAUGGUGUUGUUGAAUGGCAUCAUUUAGCAACUAAAGAAUACACUCUAAGAUCGGUGUGCGUCUGAUUAGCUAGUUGGCGGGGUAACGGCCCACCAAGGCGACGAUCAGUAGGGGGUGUGAGAGCAUGACCCCCCACAUGGGUACUGAGACACGGACCCAACUCCUACGGGAGGCAGCAGUAAGGAAUAUUGG